Molecule: ribosomal RNA, 490 nt
Filed under: uncultured bacterium
Lineage: Bacteria
Description: partial 16S ribosomal RNA
Rfam family: Bacterial small subunit ribosomal RNA
Source: RNAcentral
AUUGAACGCUGGCGGCAGGCCUAACACAUGCAAGUCGAACGGUAACAGGAAGAAGCUUGCUUCUUUGCUGACGAGUGGCGGACGGGUGAGUAAUGUCUGGGAAACUGCCUGAUGGAGGGGGAUAACUACUGGAAACGGUAGCUAAUACCGCAUAACGUCGCAAGACCAAAAAGGGGGACCUUCGGGCCUCUUGCCAUCGGAUGUGCCCAGAUGGGAUUAGCUAGUAGGUGGGGUAACGGCUCACCUAGGCGACGAUCCCUAGCUGGUCUGAGAGGAUGACCAGCCACACUGGAACUGAGACACGGUCCAGACUCCUACGGGAGGCAGCAGUGGGGAAUAUUGCACAAUGGGCGCAAGCCUGAUGCAGCCAUGCCGCGUGUAUGAAGAAGGCCUUCGGGUUGUAAAGUACUUUCAGCGGGGAGGAAGGGAGUAAAGUUAAUACCUUUGCUCAUUGACGUUACCCGCAGAAGAAGCACCGGCUAACUACGUG